RNAcentral lists this ribosomal RNA (465 nucleotides) under uncultured bacterium. Its description in RNAcentral is "partial 16S ribosomal RNA". It matches the Rfam family "Bacterial small subunit ribosomal RNA", at positions 338 to 795 of the family's 1533-position model. The record is from RNAcentral.
CCUACGGGAGGCAGCAGUGGGGAAUAUUGCGCAAUGGGCGAAAGCCUGACGCAGCGACGCCGCGUGAGGGAUGAAGGUCUUCGGAUCGUAAACCUCUGUCAGCAGGGAAGAACGGUCACUGUGCUAAUCAGCAGUGAAUUGACGGUACCUGCAAAGGAAGCACCGGCUAACUCCGUGCCAGCAGCCGCGGUAAUCCGGAGGGUGCGAGCGUUUAUCGGAAUUACUGGGCGUAAAGCGCUCGUAGGCGGUAUGGCAAGUCAAGGGUGAAAUCCCCGCGCUCAACGUGGGAACUGCCUUUGAAACUGGCAAACUGGAGUGUGGGAGAGGAUAGUGGAAUUCCAGGUGUAGGAGUGAAAGCCGUAGAGAUCUGGAGGAACAUCAGUGGCGAAGGCGACUAUCUGGCACAUAACUGACGCUGAGGAGCGAAAGCGUGGGUAGCAAACAGGAUUAGAUACCCUUGUAGUC